Molecule: microRNA precursor, 81 nt
Filed under: Canis lupus familiaris (dog)
Lineage: Eukaryota; Metazoa; Chordata; Mammalia; Carnivora; Canidae
Also listed under: 1 other name
Description: mir-8799 microRNA precursor family
Rfam family: mir-8799 microRNA precursor family
Source: Rfam by way of RNAcentral
GGGGGGAGACCGGAUUCUGGGCUGUUGCUGUGCUCCCGGGCCUGCGCUGUUGGAUUCGUUCUCCCAGCCGCGCAGCCCCCU